Molecule: long non-coding RNA, 415 nt
Filed under: Equus caballus (horse)
Lineage: Eukaryota; Metazoa; Chordata; Mammalia; Perissodactyla; Equidae
Description: lncRNA (ENSECAG00000048942.1)
Source: RNAcentral
GAACAAUAACAACAAAAAUGGCGAACACUGGUAAAGCUCCUACUGUGUGUGCCUGGCCUGUUUUGAAGUGCUUUACAUACAUUAACGCAUCUAAAACCCACAAGGACCCAAGAGGUCCACUUUGGUUUCAUCCUUUCUGUAUCUGGAACCCAGGAACCAAAAAAAUGAAAAAGUCCUCCUGCUUCUAGAAACAAUGGGAGGGAAAAUGUGCACCUAUCUCAUGCACGCCUUCAAUACCACAGGGAUACAAUUCGUUCCAGAAGUUCUGCAGAGAUGGUUCCCUCUCUGUGAGCAUUCUACACCGGAUAAAGGGAAGCACAAAAUCUCUCUUAGAGAAGAGUUUCCAACAUUUCCGUUAAGGCAACUAUCUGCUGGUAAAUUACAAAUGAGAAGAAGCAAUACCUUCACAUUCCCA